CAAAGCAAUCUUUCAGGGAGAGAAACUUUAGUCUCAGUAUGAUCACUGUGUCAUUAACCCACUUCCUGCUUCUUUGCUUGGUUGUUGUAGCAGCAGCAGCAGCAAGCAACAAUAUUACCACAGACCAACAAGCUCUUCUUGCCCUGAAAGAUCAUAUAAUUUAUGAUCCGACCAACCUUUUAGCCCAUAAUUGGACCUCGAAUACAUCUGUUUGUACCUGGAUUGGCAUCACUUGUGAUGUCAAUAGCCAUAGAGUCGCAGCCUUAGAUAUUUCUCAAUUCAAUCUACAAGGCACCAUCCCUCCUCAACUUGGAAACCUCUCUUCACUCACAACGCUUAAUCUUAGUCAUAACAAGCUUUCUGGAAACGUUCCCUCCUCCAUCUACACAAUGCAUACGCUAAAAUUUCUUGACUUCACUGAUAACCAGCUCUCUGGUUCGGUGUCUUCCUUCGUCUUCAACAUGUCUUCAAUAGUAGAAAUUCGUUUGACCAAUAACAGAUUUUCUGGUGAGCUUCCGAAAAAUAUUUGCAACUAUCUUCCUCAUUUGAAAGCCCUUUUUUUGGACAAAAACAUGUUUCAUAGCAAAAUUCCUUCUGCUUUAUCAAAGUGCAAACAACUGCAACAAUUAAAUUUGCAGUUCAAUAAUUUAUCCGGUGCAAUACCAAAAGAAAUCGGCAACUUGACUAUGCUCAAAGGGAUAUCUCUAUUAUGCAACAAACUCCACGGUAUGUUCAUAAUACUAUGUAAAUAUUUUAAUUUCUCACUUGUUAUUUUUCUUGAAUACUUUAGAUAAGAUCUUGUAACAGAGAUUUUUUUGCAUCUAUGUUAAUUUGCCAGGUGAGAUACCCCACGAAAUCGCUAAUCUUCGAAAUCUAGAGGGUUUAGUGCUUGGAAUGAACAACCUAGUUGGUGUGUUACCAGCUCCAAUCUUCAACAUGUCAACACUGAAGGUACUUAUCCUCAUGGAUAACUCUCUCAGUGGAAGUCUACCAUCAAGAAUAGACCUUUCACUUCCAACUGUUGAGUUUCUUGAGUUGGCACAUAAUAGAUUUUCUGGAACCAUUCCUAGUUCCAUCACCAAUGCUUCUAAGCUCACCGUUCUAGCGUUGGGAGAGAACACAUUUUCGGGCUUCAUUCCAAACACAAUUGGUAAUUUAAAAAACCUUGAGUGGCUCAGCUUGGAGAAUAAUUACUUGAAAUCUUCAACCUCAAAAUUGAGCUUUCUUUCCUCUUUGGCAAAUUGCAAGAAAUUAAGAUUCUUAAACUUAGGAGGCAAUCCACUCGACGGUAUCCUUCCAAGUUCAAUAGGUAAUCUUUCUAAGUCUUUGGAAACACUUGUCAUCGCCAAUUGCAGUAUUAGUGGCAACAUUCCGGAAGCAAUUAGCAAUUUAAGCAACUUGUUGACCUUAGUAUUAGAACGCAAUAAAUUGACUGGACCAAUUCCAAUUACAUUCGGCCCACUACAGAAACUCCAAGGCUUAUAUCUUGCAUUCAAUAUGUUGGUAGGUUCAUUCCCAGAUGAGCUUUGCCAUCUAGGUAGGCUGAAUGAAUUGGUCUUAUUUGGCAAUAAGCUUUCAGGAUCUAUACCUUCAUGCUUAAGUAACCUCACUUCUCUGAAAUCUCUCUACUUAGGGUCCAAUAGGUUUACUUCUGUUAUUCCCUCAACCUUCUGGAGCCUAAAAUACAUCUUGUUCUUUGACUUUUCAUCAAAUUUCUUGGUGGGUCCUCUUUCUUCAGACAUAGGUAAUUUGAAGGUGCUUCUAGGAAUAAAUUUAUCAGAAAAUAACUUAUCGGGUGAUAUGCCAGCCACAAUUGGAGGACUAAAAAACCUUCAAAUUAUGGACCUAGCAUAUAAUAGAUUGGAAGGCCCAAUUCCUGAAUCAUUUGGUGACUUGACAAGUUUGGAGGUUUUGAAUUUGUCAAAUAAUAAAAUCUCCGGGUCUAUUCCAAAAUCCUUGGGGAAACUCUUUUACCUCCGAGAGUUAAAUCUCUCUUUCAAUGAACUAGAAGGUGAGAUUCCUAGUGGAGGAAUUUUUGCCAACUUCACAGCUGAGUCAUUUAUGGGAAAUGAGUUAUUGUGUGGUUUACCAAAUCUUCAAGUCCAACCAUGCAAAGUUAGCAAGCCGAGGACAGAACAUAAAUCAAGGAAAAAGAUACUUCUCAUUGUGAUUGUUUUGCCAUUGAGUAUUGCUCUAACGAUAGCAAUCACUCUAGCUCUCCAAUCUAAGCUGAUCGAAUGUGGAAAAAGAAGCACGGUGUUAUCAAAUGAUAGUAUCUUGUCAUCACAAGCAACACUAAGAAGAUUUUCAUACUUAGAACUUUUACGAGCAACAGAUAAUUUUGCUGAAAACAGCAUAAUUGGCAGAGGAGGUUUUGGUUCCGUUUAUGGAGCAAGACUUGAAGAUGGGAUGAAGAUUGCAAUAAAAGUGUUUCACCAGCAAUGUGCAAGCGCAUUGAAGAGUUUUGAGGCUGAAUGUGAAGUGUUAAAAAAUAUUCGCCAUCGAAACCUUAUCAAAGUUAUCAGCAGUUGCUCGAACGAUGACUUCAAAGCAUUAGUCCUAGAAUACAUGUCCAACGGGAGCUUGGGGGAUUGGUUGCAUUCGAGCAAUUACGUGCUGAAUAUUUUUCGAAGGUUGAACAUAAUGAUUGACUUUGCAUCAGCUUUAGAAUAUCUCCACUUCGAUCAUUCAACUCCUGUUAUUCAUUGUGACUUAAAGCCUAGUAAUGUAUUGUUGGACGAAAAUAUGGUUGCUCAUUUGAGUGAUUUUGGCAUAGCAAAGCUUUUAAGUGGAGAAGAUGAGUCUACGAUGCGAACAAAAACCCUUGCCACUAUAGGUUAUAUGGCACCAGGUUUGCUUCAAACAACUUUUUUUGUUGGUGCAUGUACCCUCCCUUUAAAAAAUAUAUAAUAAUUAAUACUUAAUAUAUUAUUAAAUACGAAAAUAUCAAUAUUUGACUACACAAAUUUAUGUCAUUAGGUCCUUAAAAUUUAAAAUUGAAGACACAAAAUGAAAUAUAUAUAUAAAUUUCAUUCUCAUAGGAAAUGAUCCUCUUAUAAUCUUAAAAUAUUUGAGCUUUGAAAGAUUUUUUAAAACAAAUGUACUUUUAUUUUUGUACAAUCAAUAUUUACUUAUUUAUUAUAUUUUUAUUCAUUAACUAUCAAUCAUGUGAGUAUAUUUACUCAGAAAUAUCAUAUCAAGGAAGAAUCUUGAUCCCACGCACACGCAAAUAUGUUAAUUUCUAUACGCUUCACUUACCUGUAGAAUCAAUUAUCUAAAAUGCAAGUUUGUGGCCACAAAAAAGGCCAAAGAAAGAAGAUAAUAACAAUUGACUUGUAUAUUAUACUCAUACAAUCCACUCGACAUAAUGAUAUCAUUUUAAUAAGGCAAUGGCUGAUGAUCUCCAUGACUCCAUUGAAAAACUAAUUCAAUUUUUUUUGCUUCAUUUAACUUUUUGGUUGUUGAAAAUAACCUUAAUUAUCAAAUAAUUGGAGAAAGAGUAAAGAACAUUUAAAAAAUUUAUGAGCAAAAAAAAAAGGAGAAGUUGAAGAGAAAGGGUGCUUGCAGAAGUGGGUGUCAAAGAAAAAUCAGUCCAUAAGAAUUAUUGCGGUUAUUUUUUGGCAAUAUAAAUUUUUUAUAGCAAGUAAAAAUUAAUUUUUUUCCGAUUUACUAAAAAAUUAACUAAAAACUUCUGCGACAACAUUUUUUAUGGGUGCAUAUAGCCUCCCUUUAAAAAAAUAAUAAUAAUUAAUGCUUAAUAUAGUAUUAAAUACGAAAAUGUCAAUAUUUGAUUACUCAAAUUUAUAUCAUUAGGUCCUUAAAAUUUAAAAUUAAAGAUACGAAAGGAAAUAUAUAUAAAUUUCAUUCUCAUGGAAAGGAUUCUCUUAUAAUUUUAUAAUAUUUGAGUUUUGAAAUUUUUUUGAAACAAAUGUAAUUUUAUUUGUGUACAAUCAAUAUUUACUCAUUUAUUAUAUUUUAAUUUAUUUAUUAUAUUUAGUCGGAAAAAUUAUAUCAAGAGAGAAUCCUAAUUUCACGCAAACACAAAUACAAGACAAAUAUGUUAAUUUCUAUACUAUUCACUUUCCUGUAGAAUCAAUUAUCUAAAAUGCAAGUUUGUGGCUACAGAAAACUCGCCAAAGAAAGAAGAUAAUAACAAUUGAGCAUUGAUAGCAAAACUAAUGCAUCAUUUUCUUCUUGACUUGAUGAGAUGGCGCCAUCACAAAAAAACAAGUACCUUAAUUGACGGGCACUGAGUGAUGUGAAUACUACCAGCCAGUUCAUCUCUUCCAGUCUUGCUUAAUCACAAUCACAAACACCUCGAGAUCGACAUUUGCAUUAUAUAUAUGUUCAGCAAUCGAAACACCUUGCAUUACCAAAUAAACCAGUAACAAACAAAGCAAUCUUUCAUGGAGAGAAACUUUAGUCUCAGUAUGAUCACUGUGUCAUUAACCCACUGCCUGCUUCUUUGCUUGGUUGUUGCAGCAGCAGCAGCAGCAGCAGCAAGCAACAAUAUUACCACAGACCAACAAGCUCUUCUUGCCCUGAAAGAUCAUAUAAUUUAUGAUCCGACCAACCUUUUAGCCCAUAAUUGGACCUCGAAUACCUCUGUUUGUACCUGGAUUGGCAUCACUUGUGAUGUCAAUAGCCAUAGAGUCACAGCCUUAGAUAUUUCUCAAUUCAAUCUACAAGGCACCAUCCCUCCUCAACUUGGAAACCUCUCUUCACUCACAACACUUAAUCUUAGUCAUAACAAGCUUUCUGGAAGCGUUCCCUCCUCCAUCUACACCAUGCAUAGGCUAAAAUUUCUUGACUUCACUGAUAACCAGCUCUCUGGUUCGGUGUCUUCCUUCGUCUUCAACAUGUCUUCAAUAUUAGACAUUCGUUUGACCAAUAACAGACUUUCUGGUGAGCUUCCGAAAAAUAUUUGCAACUAUCUUCCUCAUUUGAAAGCCCUUUUUUUGGACAAAAACAUGUUUCAUAGCAAAAUUCCUUCUGCUUUAUCAAAGUGCAAACAACUGCAACAAUUAAAUUUGCAGUUCAAUAAUUUAUCCGGUGCAAUACCAAAAGAAAUCGGCAACUUGACUAGGCUCAAAGGGAUAUAUCUCGGCGCCAACAAACUCCACGGUAUGUUCAUAAUACUAUGUAAAUAUUUUAAUUUCUCACUUGUUAUUUUUCUUGAAUACUUUAGAUAAGAUCAUGUAACGGAGAUUUUUUUGCAUCUAUGUUAAUUUGCCAGGUGAGAUACCGCACGAAAUCGCUAAUCUUCGAAAUCUAGGGGAUUUAGUGCUUGGAAUGAACAACCUAGUUGGUGUGUUACCAGCUCCAAUCUUCAACAUGUCAACACUGAAGGUACUUAUCCUCAUAAACAACUCUCUCAGCGGAAGUCUUCCAUCAAGAAUAGACCUUUCACUUCCAACGGUUGAGGUUCUUAUCUUGUCACUUAAUAGAUUUUCUGGAACCAUUCCUAGUUCCAUCACCAAUGCUUCUAAGCUCGCCUUGCUAGAAUUGGGAGUAAACACAUUUUCGGGAUUUAUUCCAAACACAAUUGGUAAUUUAAGAAACCUUGAGUGGCUCGGCUUGGGUAAUAACUACUUGACAUCUUCAACCUCAAAAUUGAGCUUUCUUUCCUCUUUGGCAAAUUGCAAGAAAUUAAGAGACAUAGGCUUAACAGGCAAUCCACUCAACGGUAUCCUUCCAAGUUCAAUAGGUAAUCUUUCCAUGUCUUUGAAAACACUUUACAUCGGCAAUUGCAGUAUUAGUGGCAACAUUCCUCAAUCAAUUGGCAAUUUAAGCAACUUAUUGGCCUUAGUAUUAGAAGUCAAUAAAUUGACUGGACCUAUCCCAACUACAUUCGGCCGACUGCAGAAACUCCAAGGCUUAUAUCUUGCAUUCAAUAAGUUGGUAGGUUCAUUCCCAGAUGAGCUUUGCCAUCUAGCAAGGCUGGAUCAAUUGGUCUUAUUUGGCAAUAAGCUUUCAGGAUCUAUACCUUCAUGCUUAAGUAAUCUCACUUCUCUGAGAUCUCUCUACUUAGGGUCCAAUAGGUUUACUUCUGUCAUUCCCUCAACUUUCUGGAGCCUAAAAGACAUCUUGUUCUUUGACUUUUCAUCAAAUUUCUUGGUGGGUCCUCUUUCUUCAGACAUAGGUAAUUUGAAGGUGCUUCUAGGAAUAAAUUUAUCAGAAAAUAACUUAUCGGGUGAUAUGCCAGCCACAAUUGGAGGACUAAAAAACCUUCAAAUUAUGGACCUAGCAUAUAAUAGAUUGGAAGGCCCAAUUCCUGAAUCAUUUGGUGACUUGACAAGUUUGGAGGUUUUGAAUUUGUCAAAUAAUAAAAUCUCCGGGUCUAUUCCAAAAUCCUUGGGGAAACUCUUUUACCUCCGAGAGUUAAAUCUCUCUUUCAAUGAACUAGAAGGUGAGAUUCCUAGUGGAGGAAUUUUUGCCAACUUCACAGCUGAGUCAUUUAUGGGAAAUGAGUUAUUGUGUGGUUUACCAAAUCUUCAAGUCCAACCAUGCAAAGUUAGCAAGCCGAGGACAGAACAUAAAUCAAGGAAAAAGAUACUUCUCAUUGUGAUUGUUUUGCCAUUGAGUAUUGCUCUAACGAUAGCAAUCACUCUAGCUCUCCAAUCUAAGCUGAUCGAAUGUGGAAAAAGAAGCACGGUGUUAUCAAAUGAUAGUAUCUUGUCAUCACAAGCAACACUAAGAAGAUUUUCAUACUUAGAACUUUUACGAGCAACAGAUAAUUUUGCUGAAAACAGCAUAAUUGGCAGAGGAGGUUUUGGUUCCGUUUAUGGAGCAAGACUUGAAGAUGGGAUGAAGAUUGCAAUAAAAGUGUUUCACCAGCAAUGUGCAAGCGCAUUGAAGAGUUUUGAGGCUGAAUGUGAAGUGUUAAAAAAUAUUCGCCAUCGAAACCUUAUCAAAGUUAUCAGCAGUUGCUCGAACGAUGACUUCAAAGCAUUAGUCCUAGAAUACAUGUCCAACGGGAGCUUAGGGGAUUGGCUGCAUUCGAGCAAUUACGUGCUGAAUAUUUUUCAAAGGUUGAACAUAAUGAUUGACGUUGCAUCAGCUUUAGAAUAUCUCCACUUUGAUCAUUCAACUCCUAUUAUUCAUUGUGACUUAAAGCCUAGUAAUGUAUUGUUGGAUGAAAAUAUGGUUGCUCAUUUGAGUGAUUUUGGCAUAGCAAAGCUUUUAAGUGGAGAGGAUGAGUCUACGAUGCGAACAAAAACCCUUGCCACUAUAGGUUAUAUGGCACCAGGUUUGCUUCAAACAACUUUUUUUUAAAGUUCAUUUUAAAUUUUCCAACUUAUUGAUUUUUACAAUCCUCAUAUCAAAAUGUUAUUGAUUAUUUAUCUAAUUGUGAAAUUAAUUUGAUUAAUAGAGUACGGCAUUGAAGGAGAAGUAUCUACAAAAAGUGAUGUUUACAGCUAUGGGAUUAUGUUGAUGGAAACUUUUACCAAGAAAAAACCCACAGAUGAAAUUUUUGUUGGGGAAUUGAGCUUAAAGCGUUGGGUUAAUGACUUGCUUCCUACUUCAUUAGUGGAAGUUGUGGACAAAACUCUGCUAAGUGGAGAGGAAAAACAUUCUGCAGCAAAGGAGCAAUGUCUGUUGUCUAUCUUUAGUUUGGCUCUGGAGUGUACAAUGGAAUCACCGGAAAAGAGGAUUAAUGCAAAAGAUAUUGUUACUAGAUUACUCAAGAUAAGAGACACAUUGAGUAAAAGGAUCGGAAAUUUAAGUUAAUUUCGUUUGCUUUCAUUGAUAGUUAAUCUGAAUUCAUGUAAUAAGUGUAGGAAUCUUAUAUCUUUUCCUUUCAUAUAUUUUUUUUUCUUGAGAAAACUGUUGUAGUCAUCUUGUUUCCAUGGACAGAGUUGAUUUAGUUCUUCCAAAAAAUGCUACUGAUGACCUUUGUUUAAUACUUUCUCUUUUUUUGCAUGUGUUUAGGUAGAACAGUGGUUUGGCUGCAGGCUAAGAAGUCUAACUACACUAAAAGAAUAUGAUUUAAUUUAUUAAACAAAACUUCAAGUUCAAGAAAAGUAUUUCACUGCCCCCAAUGCUUUGGACACCUACUUGUUGCGGACCGCCCAAUUCGCUAGCCCAAUUGCCCACAAUUUCGGGCUAGAGAGCCAACACAAGGCCAAGAGUGCUAGCUUGGCCCAAUUCCGAAAGGUUCUAGGCAACUCUAGCACAUGUGAACAUGUAAAUAUUCUAGAAUACUUUAUACAAUUCCAGCACAUGCAAAUAGCUAGGAAAUUGUAAAAUACUCUAGAGUUUGACCAAGUUUGGCAAAGUUAGGCAAAGUUAGGCAAAGCCUCCCCUAUAAAUAUGGGAUGGCAUUAGGCAUUUGUAUCCAAAAAGCUUUGUAAGCAACUUAAGCAUUGUAUUCUCUCUUUGUGCAAUACAAGUUUUCUUCUUUGGCUCAAUUGCUCUCUUCUCUAGUUCGAGAAGCUCUAGGCUUACUUAGCAACAUUCGGCAAAGUUGUCUAAGUGCCGCACGGGUUAGCUGCGCAAAACACUCAUCUCGUGACAAGUGGUAUCAGAGCUAAGGUUUGCACGCACGCAAAUUAGCUCACGAAGCAAUGGCCAACCCUUCGAACGUAGCACAAGAGGGUGUUGUUGGUGUGGAUGUUCCACCGGAACUAAGCCGUGGCCGAGAGGGAGAACGUGCCCAAGGCAAGACUCGCGGCAAGUCCAAGGCCCUAUCCGUGGAUGCGUUGGAGCCUCGUGUAGGCACUCUCGAAAUCGCAUUGUCCACCGCUCAAGAAAGCCUCGAGGGAUUGGAGGAACGAGUGGACGGACUCGAGGGAGAAUACGCCGAAUUCACGGUGGCAACCAAAGCUCUCAUCCAAGAACAAGCAAACACUCUUCGAGGUGAGUGUUCAAGACGAACUACGCGCUGUCCGUGCGGAAGUGGAUGAAGUCCGCUCGGAUUGGGCAUGGCACAAGCGCACACUCUCCUCAAGUCCAGCUUCCGCAAACUCGAGUGAUGCGCGCCGCAUUGACGUGCCAAAGCCCGACACCUACGAUGGCACACGCAAUGCCACAAUCGUGGAUAAUUUCCUCUUUGGUCUGGAUCAAUACUUUAAUGCCAUGGGUGUACGAGAUGAGGCAUCGAAAGUGGGCACUGCACCCACCUAUCUUAGAGGCGCUGCACAACUAUGGUGGCGUCGCAAACAUGGCGAGAUGGGCAAGGGCAUUUGCACCAUCGACAUUUGGUCCGACUUCAAGCAAGAACUCCGAAAGCAGUUCGCCCCAAGCAAUGCGGAGAAGGAAGCGCGAGCGCGCUUACGUCGCCUCAAGCAAUCGGGUAGCAUUCGGGACUACAUCAACGAGUUCACUACCCUUAUGUUGGAGAUAAGCGACAUGUCCAACAAGGAUUCACUCUUCUACUUCCAAGAUGGCCUCAAGGAUUGGGCCAAAACCGAGCUUGAUAGGCGUGGUGUUCAAACACUUGACGACGCCAUCGCCAUUGCGGAAUCGCUCACCGAAUACUCUACCCAAUCCAAAGACAAGAAGUCUAGCCAAGGCAAAGGUGGGGGAGAGAGUCGUAAGGACAAGGGCAACAACCGCAAAGAUUGGGGGCAGAAAAAGCCGCCUAGCAACAAGAGCUGGCAGGGAAAAUCGGAGGGCAAGAAGGAGGCGCCAAAGCCACGAAGCCCAUGCUUCAUAUGCAAUGGUCCUCAUUGGGUACGCGACUGUCCGGAGAAGCGGUCGCUUAAUAUUCUUGCUGCCCAACUCAAGAGCAACCCCACAAUGUCCGUGGAGGAACCCCAACUUAGCAUGGGUUCUCUCCAACGCCUCGGCGCCCUCAACCGCCAACAGCCCGCGCUAGUCAAGAAAGGGCUCAUGUAUGUUAGCGCAAAGGUAAACAGCCAGUCCGUUCGCGCGUUGCUAGACACGGGAGCAACACACAAUUUCGUGUCCGUAGAUGAGGCCAAGCGUUUAGGCCUCAAGGCCACCAAGGAAUGAGGCACAAUGAAGGCAGUAAACUCACCCGCCAAGCCAAUUGCGGGAAUUGCACAAGGCGUACACAUCACACUUGGUACGUGGAGCGGAAAGCUUGACUUCUCCAUCCUGCCCAUGGACGACUUCAAGAUGGUCCUGGGCAUGGAAUUCUUCGACCAAGUCUAUGCCUUCCCGCUGCCUACUACGAACUCCCUAAGCAUCCUCGAUGGGAGUAAAGCAUGCAUGGUACCCACGGAGCGAGGCAAGUCCGAGGAGAAGACACUCUCCACCAUGCAAUUCAAAAGGGCUUUCAAGAAGGACCCAAGCUUCUUGGUCUCCAUUCGGGAACUAAAUGAGGAAAGAAAUAGCGGAACGUCGCCAAGCCAAGUCCCUCCGCAAAUAUACAGAGUCCUCAAUGAGUACGAGGAUGUGAUGCCUCCAGAACUUCCGAAGAAGCUCCCACCUCGACGAGAGGUAGAUCAUGCGAUCGAGCUAGAACAAGGCGCGAAGCCAACAGCCUUGGCGCCCUACCGUAUGGCGCCAUCUGAAUUAGAGGAGUUGCGGAGACAACUCAAAGACUUGCUGGACGCAGGCUACAUUCGCCCCUCAAAGGCCCCAUUCAGUGCACCCGUGCUCUUCCAAAAGAAAAAGGAUGGAUCGCUGCGGAUGUGCAUCGACUAUAGAGCGCUCAACAAGAUCACUAUCAAGAACAAGUAUCUGAUUCCCGUGAUUGCGGACUUGUUCGACCAGCUUGGCAAAGCGCGGUACUUCACCAAACUUGACUUGCGCUCCGGGUAUUAUCAAGUGCGCAUCGCCAAGGGAGAUGAACCGAAGACAGCGUGCACAACAAGGUACGGGUCUUUCGAAUUCCUUGUGAUGCCUUUUGGUCUUACUAAUGCACCCGCCACAUUUUGCACGCUCAUGAACAAGGUGCUCCAACCAUUCCUCGACUGCUUCGUGGUCGUGUACUUGGAUGACAUAGUGGUGUAUAGCACCACGCUCGAGGAUCAUGCCCGACAUUUGCGACAAGUCCUCCAAGUACUUCGAGACAACGAGCUCUUCCUCAAACUAGAGAAGUGCUCGUUUGCCCAACAAGAAGUGGAGUUCCUUGGCCAUAAGAUUGCGGGUGGGAAGAUCAUGAUGGAGAAUGACAAAGUAAAGGUCAUCCUCGAUUGGGAGCCUCCCUCGAAAGUACCCGAACUUCGCUCAUUCCUUGGACUGGUGAAUUACUACCGCCGCUUCAUCAAGGGCUAUUCAGCUAAGGCGGCACCCUUGACGAAUAUGCUCAAGAAAAACAGAACAUGGCAUUGGUCCGAAGAGUGCCAACGCGCAUUCGAGGAGUUGAAAAGAACAAUUUCGGAGGAACCCGUCCUCGCUCUUCCGGACCACACAAAGCCCUUCGAAGUGCAAACGGAUGCCUCGGAUUUCGCCAUAGGAGGAGUCCUUAUGCAAGAAGGCCACCCUAUAGCGUUCGAGAGUCGAAAGCUAAAUGAUACAGAACGCCGCUACACGGUGCAAGAAAAGGAGAUGACCGCAAUCAUACAUUGCUUGCGGGUGUGGCGACAUUACUUGCUUGGCUCGUACUUCACGAUUAUGACGGAUAACGUGGCGACAAGCUACUUUCAAACUCAGAAGAAGUUGAGUCCGAAGCAAGCACGGUGGCAAGAUUUCCUUGCGGAAUUCGACUACCGGCUGGAGUACAAACCGGGGAAAGCCAAUGUCGUUGUGAACGCUCUAAGCCGCAAGGCCGAAUUGGCGACACUUAGCAUGAGCCAACCAAAGUCUGACCUUGUCUCACGCAUCAAGGAAGGCCUCCAACAAGAUCCGCUAGCCAAGGAUUUGCUGGAGAAGGUGCUCGAGGGAAAGACAAGACGAUUUUGGCAAGAGGAAGGCAUCCUCCUCACCAAGGGAGAUCGGCUAUUCGUGCCAAGGUGGGGAAACUUGCGGAAGGAAGUAAUCAAGGAGUGCCACGACUCUAAGUGGGCCGGUCACCCAGGAAUCGAGCGCACCACCGCACUAGUUCAAGCCUCGUAUUUUUGGCCGCACAUGAGGGACGACAUCGAGGCAUAUGUGCGAACUUGUCUUGUGUGCCAACAAGACAAAGUGGAUCAUCAACUUCCAGCGGGAUUGUUGGAGCCGUUACCACUAGCAACAAGGCCAUGGGAAAGUGUCUCCAUGGAUUUCAUCACAUCGCUGCCCAAGUCCGAAGGUUGUGGAAGCAUCAUGGUCGUUGUCGACCGAUACAGCAAAUAUGCCACAUUCAUUGCCGCACCAGCCGAUUGCAAAGCGGACGAGGCAGCCCGCCUAUUCGUCAAGCACAUUGUGAAGCUUUGGGGAGUUCCGAAGAGCAUUGUGAGCGACCGAGACCCUCGAUUCACUGGACGCUUUUGGACGGAACUCUUCAAAAUGUUGGGGACCGAUCUCAAGUUCUCGACAAGCUUCCACCCACAAACGGAUGGGCAGACCGAGCGCAUUAAUGGCCUCCUCGAGAUGUACCUGAGGCAUUAUGUGAGCGCUCACCAGCGGGAUUGGGCGAAGCUACUCGACAUUGCCCAAUUUUCUUAUAACUUGCAGCGAAGUGAGGCUACGGGCAAGAGUCCAUUCGAGAUCAUCAUGGGAUUUCAGCCCAUGACCCCCAAUGCCAUAGCCUCGACUUACGGAGGGAAAAGCCCCGCGGCACACAAGCUCGCCCGCGAAUGGCAUGAGGAAGCGGACAUCACGCGAGCCUAUCUCGACAAAGCCGCGAGGAAAAUGAAGAAAUGGGCUGAUACAAGGAGACGGCAUGUUGAGUACAAGGAAGGAGAUCAAGUCAUGAUCAAGCUCCUACCCCAACAAUUCAAGACUUUGCGGAAAGUUCACAAGGGGUUAGUGAGGUGCUACGAGGGAUCCUUCCGAGUUGUUCGACGUGUAGGCAACGUCUCGUAUCAACUCCAACUUCCGCCAAGACUCAAGAUCCAUCCGGUCUUCCAUGUGAGCCUUCUCAAGCCAUAUCAUGAAGACAUGGGAGAACCAAGUCGCGGAGAAUUGAGGCGCGCGCCAACUGCCGUUGUCACCGCGUUCGACAAAGAUGUGGACUACAUCAUUGCGGACCGAACGGUUUCGAGGAGGGGCGUGCCAGCACAUAGCGAGUACUUGGUGAAAUGGAAAAACCUCCCCGAGAGCGAAGCCACUUGGGAACGGGAAGAUGAUUUGUGGCAAUUCGCUGAGCACAUCCAGCACUUCAAGCACGAGAGCGCGACGAGGACGCCGCGAGCUUAGGUGGGGGAGGAUGUUGCGGACCGCCCAAUUCGCUAGCCCAAUUGCCCACAAUUUCGGGCUAGAGAGCCAACACAAGGCCAAGAGUGCUAGCUUGGCCCAAUUCUGGAAGGUUCUAGGCAACUCUAGCACAUGUGAACAUGUAAAUAUUCUAGAAUACUUUAUACAAUUCCAGCACAUGCAAAUAGCUAGGAAAUUGUAAAAUACUCUAGAGUUUGACCAAGUUUGGCAAAGUUAGGCAAAGUUAGGCAAAGUUAGGCAAAGCCUCCCCUAUAAAUAUGGGAUGGCAUUAGGCAUUUGUAUCCAACAAGCUUUGUAAGCAACUCAAGCAUUGUAUUCUCUCUUUGUGCAAUACAAGUUUUCUUCUUUGGCUCAAUUGCUCUCUUCUCUAGUUCGAGAAGCUCUAGGCUUACUUAGCAACAUUCGGCAAAGUUGUCUAAGUGCCGCACGGGUUAGCUGCGCAAAACACUCAUCCCGUGACAUACUGGUAGGUAUGUACGUGUCCUCAACUUUUUUUCGGAGCACAAAAUUCGAGUCCCAUGGAGACUCAAACAUUCCUUUCCCACAUCCCGAGCACGCUAAAUUCAUCAGACUAACAACUGUGACAUAUACAAGAGUGAAAUGUUUAGAGAACGCUAAGUACUAUGAAAGAGAUUAGUUUACGAAAACUGAAGCCAAGGGUUCAUAAAAAAGUGCAAAGAGAAUAAAGGACAACGCUUAUGUAAAGCGACAUAGUUGUAUUCAUAGCACAAUGUCAUAUUCAUACAGAGAUCUAGAAUAUUAUUUACAGCUGGUAAGGGCUAAGAAUUGAUGUAGCUAGAAUACAAAGACGAUAAGGUAUGUUGUGCACUAUUGUUUUAUUCUACGAUCAAUCUUGACCCUUGAUGCUUGGCUCUCAAUCUUGUCCAUUGAUCUUCUUUGAUUUUGGACACUUCAAGACCUUUCAGUAUCAUUCCUUGUUAUUGGUGUCUUCCGUGCUGUAGAAUUCAUAUACAAGCCUUCCCGCCGACUUGCCAAUUAUUUGUUCAUUGGUGCGUUUUGUCAAGCAGUGUGGAUACUUAUACCAAACGCUUUCUGUUUUAACUCCCCCUUUCAAGCUCAACUAUCUGGGAAGACACUAAUAAGCUUGUUUCUCAAGUAUAUGUAUGUGAAAAUUAAAAUUUCAAAAUAAUAUUCGGACUCUACAUUUUCUAAUGAACAUUGGUUUGGCUCAUAAGCUUAUUAUACUUGGGCUUGGUAGGAUUAUCGGUCGGUAGAUGAACAAGUGUUAGAGCUUUCGAAUUUAUGCCAAUUAAAAAAAAAAAAAUCUAUAUAAAUUUUCCACUAGGCUAUUACCACAAUAAACAUUUGGAUGAACUAUUAUUGAAACCUUAUUGAGAAGUAGGACAUGUCGCAUACCAAUGCACUGACAUAUCUUCAAAUAGUGGUAACUCCACACAACAUGGCACAAUAAAUUAAGAGUUAUAUAGAUAAAAUCUUUCACUCUUUGGUAAUCAUCAAUGUCGGCAUGGCAAUGCGUCCGACAAAAUUCAUAAAUCAAAACAAAAAUAGAGAAUCAUAUUUGUUCCAGAUUGUAGUGAUGGUUGUUGAUGCACUCACAAUUUACAAUUUUAUUUAAUAUCUUCACAUUCGCAUUUUAAAAUGCACAAAUGUUUGUGUAUACAUAAUUAGUAAUCGAUUCUCAAGCAUGGACAUUUAAAAGCACUGCUGAAAGACAAAAUUUUAAUUUACUAUUUUUUGUCUUUUAAUUUUCUUUAAGUUUUAAUGAUUCCGCAUUUUGGCGAAGGAAUUGCAACCGCAUUUGGAGCUAGUUUUAAUUUUGUCUUUUAAUUCUUUUACACUUGGCUUUUGUUAUUGAUGUUAACUUCGAUGUGUGUGCGUGUGCGACUGAAUUCAACUUACACGCUAUUGAUGCAGCCACCAAAAAGGGGUGGUCCAUCAUCAAUCAACAAGGUUUAUUAUUAUUUCCAUAUUGAUUUUCUUAAUUAUAAAUAAUACUAAUGCUAUUUCAUAGUUAUAAAUAUAUUAGAAUUAAUCGAAAUCAUUUUUUAGUGUGGCAUGGCUAAAACUACCUUUUUUUUUUAUAAGUAAUUACUACUUUCACAUUAAGAAAAAAUACUCCUAUUUUUAAGGAAAAGUCAAGUACCUGUAGUUGUGAAGACUCGAGCUCACUCCCUUAUGAUAAAUCUUCAUAUUAAUUACGUAAAUAUCCUCUAAAAUUUUAAAUUAACUAUUCAAAAUUCGAUGUUAUACAGGUAUUUCAUUUAUUUGAGUAGGGGUUAGGGGUCAAUUGGAUACAAAUUCAAAAUUAUCCUUACUUGAGAAGGUGAUAAAAAUUGGGGAUUUAGUUUGGAUGUCAUUAGCUACAAAUAUUAAACUCAUACAUUUAAUUCAAAAUUAGAGGGCUGAUAUAUGCGCAUCAUCGUGCACGUUAUAGUGACACUGCGUCACCAUUCCACAACCUCUCCAAUGAAAAAUUGACAUGCUUCUUGUGCGCAUCUAAUCAGAAUCUUGAAAAUUAAUCACAAAAUUGUACUUUUAUUAUAAAAAGAAUAAAGAAACUCCAAGAAAAAAAAAAGACUUACAUAAAUAGAUUGAAAAAUCUAGAUUUCAAGUUGUCUAUAUUAGCUUGAUAUUUUUAUUAAUAGUCAUCCUCCCAAAAAAAUUCCAUCAAAAUAUAUUUUAAUUUUAUGUUAAUUCAUAAACAUGAAAAAAUCAUUUUAGAAUUAAUUAAAACAUAAUUUAUUGUUGCUCAAAAAAGGUAGAACUUAGUGAUCAGAAAAAAAGUAUCUAAAAUAUAUGUUAAAAAAAAUCAUGGUUGGUUAGACUGAUUGAAUUUUUUUUCUUUUUUAAGAAUUAAGACAAUUGGAUGGAUUCAGUAAUAAUAAUACAUAUUUAUUUGGCAAAUGGCAGGGAGGCUUUCGUCUGAUGCAGAUUGAUUAGAGAGAAAAUAUAACAAUUUUAAGCUCGUCAGAUUCGAAGCUGCUUACCUGUCGUGGGGGGAUCACUUCCGGUGCAUGUUGUCGUGUUAAAUUCUCGUUGACUUCACGUUGACUGAAGCAUUAUUGGAAGAAACAAGUUUAUUGAUGUGAGGCCUUUGAGAUUGUAAGUGUUAAAUCUGAGAAGAAUACCCACACACCCAUUAUCCUAUUACUCUUCUAUCACAUGAAGAGAAUUCAACAUUUGAUUCACACGGAAAAAAAAUUUGUGAGGAUUGUGAGGGUUGAUGGAAUAUAAUUUAGAUACAAAGUGUUUACCAGUGCGAUGCUUCGCAAGUGUUCUUGAAUCAAUAUAAACUCACAUUAUUUUCAUAGCGAUUGUUUCAUCUGCACGUGGAUAUAAUCACAUGUCGAGAUUUUUUUCCUUAAAUUAUGAUCUUAUUUAGUAUUGAGGUGUUAUAUCUUUUAAGGUACAAUUAUUGUUGGAAAAAAGUUGCAACUAUCAAAUAAAAUUAAUACUAUGUGCUAAAUAUAAUUGUUAAAUAAUAAUUUUGACAAAAUUAGUGAAGUUAUAUAGAUUUUUUUUCAUCAUCCAAGUAUAAAAUCAAAUCAACUUAACUUCUAAGUUCUAUAUCGGCUACUGUUUAUCAUAUGUUUUAGUUCUGUAACUUUUAAAUUAUAGUUACCCAACCUCAAUUCUAAACAAGACCUAUAACGAUAAAAAAUUUCCUCAUUAAAUUAUAUGUCUUGUGAUUGCUUAUUUAAUUUAUAUUUUUGUUAUUUAUCUUUAUUAAUUAUAAUCAUCUUUUUAUAAAUUAAAAUUGAAGGAAGUUGAUUGAUGUUGUUGACACACACACACGCACGCACACACUCGCAAAGAUAUAUUGGAAGUGCUUACGUCGACUCGAAGUUGUUGGGAAUUAAUGCAUGUAUUGAUUUAUUGGGAGUGUUUAAAUUGAUUUAUUAAUUGAAUAUUGUUUGAUUGCUUCAUAUCCAUUCUAGAAAGUUUAUUUCUUUGUGAAAUUUCAACGAAAUAUGUUUUUUUUUUUAAAUAAGGGUGUUCUAAAUCAUUUUAAAAAAUAUAUGGACUAAUUAGAAUUAAUUAUUAGGUAAUUAACUCAAUUUGUACAGGGUGAAACAACAUUUAUCCUAAUUAUAUCAUGAUAAAUACUUUUUUGAUUAGAAUUAGGAAAUCAUAGGUUUAUUGAAUUGUUUUUUUUUUCCUUUGCGGAAAUGGAUUAGAGAAUUAGAAAACAAUCAUGUUGAUGUCAAAAUCUGAUCUAGUCGGUUAGCGACUUAAUAUCAUAUUACUGCACCAGCAUUAAAUUUAUUUGGUAGAGAAUUGGCUGGUCAAUUGUCAAGAUGUCCUGCAAUCACUAGCGAUUAACCUACGAAUACCUGAAAUCACAAAAGACGGUAAGAGGCACUAGAAAUUUUUUCGGCGUGAACCUUCUGACGCUCAAGUCAGUUUAUAGGUUUACCAUAAUAAAAAUAAAUAAUUUCUAUUUAAAACAAAAAAUAAAGUUCAAAAGCUCAAAAAUAAAACCCAAUCCCAAUAUGAAAAUGAAUUUCUUUUUUUUUUUUAGCUUGGCCGAAUCCUUCUGCCUCCUAAAGAAACAUAAUAGAGAAGCAGGUAGCCAUGUUCCCUAGGUAACGCCCCACUCCCCUCUUUUAUUCCUCCCCCUCUCUUCCGUUUCCUUCUUUUGCUCACUAUCCUUUAUAAUUUUUUAUGCUUGUCUUCCCAAAAUAGCCUUUGAAUACACAAGUAAAUGUCUAGGCUUUGGUGAGGAUAGUUUGGUCAUUGCAUUUUACAAGUAAGAUGAGUGGUGGAGAAAAAUGAGGAGUGCACAUAACUCUUCAGCAAAUCCCACCAACAAUUCCAUUUUCUUAAUUAAUUAAUCUCCUUUUUUAUCCCCAAACAAAUCCUAAUGAUACUCUUAUCAGGUUUAAAACAGUACACAAAUAGUGAAAAGCUAACUAGUCUGUAGAGUAAUUUGCUAAUUGCUAUCUCCUCUCUACGCGCGCUGAAUAAUUUGUUGCAUGCAAACUUUUUAUUUUAUGCAAAUCGUACGUACUGUAACAUUGGAAUUGAUGGAUAAGCAAAAAUACAAUAAUAUUUAUGCCAAUAAAAAUAGUUUUUUUUCCUUUUUAAAUAAACACAACGCGAUGUUGCUCUGCUCUACAUUUUUGCUAUCUCUUUAUUCUUUUUUUUUUUUUGGGCUUCUUAAAGCCUCAAACUUUGACAACCAAAACUUCAUCGACCUAUGAAAAAAUCUGCAGAUUAGUUUUUAUUAUCGGAAUAAUUGUUUGAGAAUACUAAAACAAAAUAUAAAAUAAGAAAAUAGGGGGUUAAAUUAGAGGGGGAAAAAAGCCAUGUUCUAUCGAUUACUAUAGUUUAAGAAAACAAAAUCCAAUUGGGAAUUUUUUUCUUUAAUUUUUGUUUUACUUGAUUGAGAUUUCUCCUUAGUCCUUACAGUUUUAAGUUUGGAUGCCGUAGGGUUAGUAAUUUAGUACUUCCUUUGCAAGCUGAGGGCAAGAAUGAAAAUCUUUAAAGAAAUUAAAAAAGAUUAAAAAAAAGCAUACCAAUAGGUAAUUAUAAAUAACCAUAAAUAAACAUAAACAAAAUAUUUAUGAAGUAAAUUACACAUGCACAUAUUAUUUUUUUGUUUUAUUUCUUACUUGUCUAUUUUAUUUGUCUAUUUUAUUUGCUGCUUGAUAACCCGUAAAUACUAAUCUAGUACUGCUAAUUUCAGACACAAAAUUUUUAACUCUAGGCUGCAGUUUUGCUCAAAAUGAUGACCACUGGCUUCGCACCAUUUAACCGGCAUACAUUUCUACAAAUUGAACAAGGCUAUUGAUUUUCAUUAUUAUUUUUUAUUUAUUUAUAAAUUACUAUUUUAAUUUUCACUUUUUAUUGGGUUGUUUACAAUUUUAUUUUAUAAUUUCAAAUUUGUAUUUUAAAAUGCAGGUACAUUAUGUAUACAUAAUUAUUGAUUUUCAUAUGUGGGUGUUUUGAAAUAUUGCUAAAAGACCAAACUUAAUAAACUAUUUUUCAUCUUUUUUUCCCUUUUUUCCUAAAGGUUGAGUGAUAUCCGCAUUUUAAAUUCAUGUGGAACAAAAGCUAAUGAAUGCACAAAAUUAUUUUAUUUUUUCCGAGAAAAAUGGGUAAGAGAAGAAGAUUUUUCUCUUGAAAAAGAAAAACUAAUACGAUGCAAACAUAGGAAAGAGGUCAGUGUUUUGGAUUAGAAUUUAUUAUUGACCUGAAUUUUAUACUAAACUCUUUUAUAGUACUGCGAUUAAUGAACUCAUGAUUUGCUUUUGCUUUUACUUCAAGUGAAAGAAAGAGGAAACCUUUUGUUUUUUGUUUGAUUCUUGACUAUAGAUGUUACCUAUAUAGAGAGUUGAGGUAGCUGCCUUAAGUGAUGGUGAUAAAAAGAUUAAGCAGCGCACAAAAUCUGACUGUCGUCCAGACCAUCCAGCUGUGAUGGCUCUAGUUUUUUGGUUACAUUAGCUUUAGUGGAAAGGAGGGCCAAUUUAACAAAGACUAGAUUUGGUGGCUUACUAUAAUGCUUAUUCUCAAGGAAUCUAAUGUUAUAAGAUGAUUUAAUGAUCUUCUAUGAUUGUGAGUAGUAUAGUAUAAUUGAAAAGAGCCUGGGCUCCUAUGAUGAAUAUUUAAUAGUAACACAAUAUUGUGAUUGAAAAAAACACUGUUACAAUAAACUCUUCAUUUAUUCAUUGCGGAUAUUGAAUGGCAAACAGAGAAUAAAAUGAAGCAGAGGAAUCUCAUUGCUAGUAAAAUUGACCCUCUUUAAUGUUAUAUGGCACAGGUGUGUGUACAGCAAGAGCAAGUGACUUGCAGUUUUUUUUUGUAAAAUAUACAGGUUAUGACCAUGAUCAUUGUAGUUAGGUUUUGAUGAUUUUAGAUGCUUUUUUAUUUUUUUUAAAUUGUGACACCUUUGAUUUAUGGUAGUUUUGCAGAAGAAAAAAAUAUAUAUAAAAAUUAGGAAGAAUGAGUUAACUAACAAUUGCAAUCAUUACAACAAUGUUGAUGAGUGAUACAUCAUUUGAAAUUUACAUGUCAGUUGCUAAAAUGAUGAAAAAAAACAAUAAACAAUAGCAGUAAUAUUUUUAUGGAAAUUCUUGGUUUUUAUGGAAAUACUCUUGCUGAAAUUCUAAUUUUGACUUUCAACUCUUGGUUUUUAUGGAAAGUAAAAUGACUUGUUUGUUAUAUUCAUACAAUCCACUCUACAUAAUGAUUUCAUUUUUAAUAAAUGCUUGAUGAUCUCCACUGAAAAACUACUUCAAUUCUUUUGUUUUAUUUAACUUUUUGGUUGUUGAAAAUAGCCUUAAUUUUCAAAUAAUUGGAGAAAGAGUAAAGAACAUUUAACAAAUUUAUGUGCCAAAAAUAAAGGAGAAAUUGAAGAGAAAGGGUGCUUGCAGAAGUGGGUGCAAAGAUAAAUCAGUCUAUAAGAAUUAUUGUGGUUAUUAAUUUUUUGGCAAUAUAAAAAUUCUUCAGCAAAUAAAAAUUGAUUUUUUUCCGAUUUACUAAAAAAUUAAUUAAAAAAUUCGGCCACAGCAUUUUUUAUGGGUGCAUAUACCCUCCCUUUAAAAAAAAAUAAUAAUUAAUGCUUAAUAUAGUAUUAAAUACCAAAAUAUCAAUAUUUGGCUACUCAAAUUUAUAUCAUUAGGUCCUUCAAAUUUAAAAUUGAAGAUACAAAAGGAAAUAUAUAUAAAUUUCAUUCUCAUGGAAAGGAUUCUCUUAUAAUCUUAUAAUAUUUGAGUUUUGAAAUUUUUUGAAACAAAUGUAAUUUUAUUUGUGUACAAUCAAUAUUUACUUAUUUAUUAUAUUUUAAUUUGUUAACUAUCAAUCAUUUAAGUAUAUUUGGUCAGAAAAAUUAUAUCAAGAGAGAAUCCUAAUUUCACGCAAACACAAAUACAAGAUAAAUAUGUCAAUUUCUAUACUAUUCACUUUCCUGUAGAAUCAAUUAUCUAAAAUGCAAGUUUGUGGCUACAGAAAACUAAUGCAUCAUUUUCUUCUUGAUUUGAUGAGAUGACGCCAUUACAAAAAAAUAAGUACCUUAAUUGACGGGCACUGAGUGAUGUGAAUACUACCAGCCAGUUCAUCUCUUCCAGUCUUGCUUAAUCACAAUCACAAACACCACGAGAUUGACAUUUGCAUUAUAUAUAUCUUCAGCAAUCGAAACACCUUGCAUUACCAAAUUAACCGGUAACAAACAAAGCAAUCUUUCAUGGAGAGAAACUUUAGUCUCAGUAUGAUCACUGUGUCAUUAACCCACUUCCUGCUUCUUUGCUUGGUUGUUGCAGCAGCAGCAGCCGCAAGCAACAAUAUUACCACAGACCAACAAGCUCUUCUUGCCCUGAAAGAUCAUAUAACUUAUGAUCCAACCAACCUUUUUGCCCAUAAUUGGACCUCGAAUACCUCUGUUUGUACCUGGAUUGGCAUCACUUGUGAUGUCAAUAGCCAUAGAGUCACAGCCUUAGAUAUUUCUCAAUUCAAUCUACAAGGCACCAUCCCUCCUCAACUUGGAAACCUCUCUUCACUUACAACGCUUAAUCUUAGUCAUAACAAGCUUUCUGGAGACGUUCCAUCCUCCAUCUACACCAUGCAUUCGCUAAAAUUUCUUGACUUCACUGAUAACCAGCUCUCUGGUUCAGUGUCUUCCUUCGUCUUCAGCAUGUCUUCAAUAUUAGAAAUUCUUUUGACCAAUAACAGAUUUUCUGGUGAGCUUCCGAAAAAUAUUUGCAACUAUCUUCCUUAUUUGAAAGCCCUUUUCUUAAACAAAAACAUGUUUCAUGGCAAAAUUCCUUCUGCUUUAUCAAAGUGCAAACAACUGCAACAAUUAAAUUUGCAGUUCAAUAAUUUAUCCGGUGCAAUACCGAAAGAAAUCGGCAACUUGACUAUGCUCAAAGGCAUAUAUCUCGAAUACAACAAACUCCACGGUAUGUUCAUAAUACUAUGUAAAUGUUUUAAUUUCUCACUUGUUAUUUUCUUGAAUACUUUAGACAAGAUCUCGUAAGGGAGAUAUUUUUGGAUCUGUGUUAAUUUGCCAGGUGAGAUACCCCACGAAAUCGCUAAUCUUCGAAAUCUAGAGGAUUUAUUGCUUGGAAUGAACAACCUAGUUGGUGUGUUACCAGCUCCAAUCUUCAACAUGUCAACACUGAAAUUAUUUGACCUCAUAAAUAACUCUCUCUCCGGAAGUCUUCCAUCAAGAAUAGACCUUUCACUUCCAACUGUCGAGUUUUUUGGCUUGGCACUGAAUAGAUUUUCUGGAACCAUUCCUAGUUCCAUCACCAAUGCUUCUAAGCUCACCGUUCUAGCGUUGGGAGAGAACACAUUUUCGGGCUUCAUUCCAAACACAAUUGGUAAUUUAAAAAACCUUGAGUGGCUCAGCUUGGAGAAUAAUUACUUGAAAUCUUCAACCUCAAAAUUGAGCUUUCUUUCCUCUUUGGCAAAUUGCAAGAAAUUAAGAUUCUUAAACUUAGCAGGCAAUCCACUUGACGGCUUCCUUCCAAGUUCAAUAGGUAAUCUUUCUGUGUCUUUGGAAACACUUUUCAUCGGCAAUUGCAGUAUUAGUGGCAACAUUCCUCAAGCAAUUAGCAAUUUAAGCAACUUGUUGACCUUAGCAUUAGAAUUCAAUAAAUUGACUGGACCAAUUCCAAUUACAUUUGGCCGACUACAGAAACUCCAAGGCUUAGAUCUUGCAUUCAAUAAGUUGGUAGGUUCAUUCCCAGAUGAGCUUUGCCAUCUAGCAAGGCUGGAUCAAUUGUACUUAUUUGGCAAUAAGCUUUCAGGAUCUAUACCUUCAUGCCUAAGUAAUCUCACUUCUCUAAGAUCUCUCUACUUAGGGUCUAAUAGGUUUACUUCUGUUAUUCCCUCAACUUUCUGGAGCCUAAAAUACAUCUUGUUCUUUGACUUUUCAUCAAAUUUCUUGGUUGGUACUCUUUCUUUCGACAUAGGUAAUUUGAAGGUGCUUCUAGGAAUAAAUUUAUCAGAAAAUAACUUAUCGGGUGAUAUGCCAGCCACAAUUGGAGGACUGAAAGAUCUUCAAUUUAUGGACCUAGCAUAUAAUAGAUUGGAAGGCCCAAUUCCUGAAUCAUUUGGUGACUUGACAAGUUUGGAGGUUUUGAAUUUGUCAAAAAAUAAAAUCUCUGGGUCUAUUCCAACAUCCAUAGAGAAACUCAUUUACCUUCGAGAGUUAAAUCUCUCUUUCAAUAAACUUGAAGGUGAGAUUCCUAGUGGAGGAAUUUUUACCAACUUCACAGCUGAGUCAUUUAUGGGAAAUGAGUUAUUGUGUGGUUUACCAAAUCUUCAAGUCCAACCAUGCAAACUUAGCAAGCCUAGGACAGAACAUAAAUCAAGGAAAAAGAUACUUCUCAUUGUGAUUGUUUUGCCAUUGAAGAUUGCUCUAACGAUAGCAAUCACUCUAGCUCUCAAAUCUAAGCUGAUCGAAUGUAGAAAAAGAAGCACAGAGUUAUCAAAUGAUAGUAUCUUGUCAUCACAAGCAACACUAAGAAGAUUUUCAUACUUAGAACUUUUACAAGCAACAGAUAAUUUUGCUGAAAACAACAUAAUUGGCAGAGGAGGUUUUGGUUUCGUUUAUGGAGCAAGACUUGAAGAUGGGAUGAAGAUUGCAAUAAAAGUGUUCACCAGCAAUGUGCAAGCGCAUUGAAGAGUUUUGAGGCUGAAUGUGAAGUGUUAAAAAAUAUUCGCCAUCGAAACCUUAUCAAAGUUAUCAGCAGUUGCUCGAACGAUAACUUCAAAGCAUUAGUCCUAGAAUACAUGUCCAACGGGAGCUUGGAGGAUUGGCUGCAUUCUAGCAAUUAUGUGCUGAAUAUAUUUCAGAGGUUGAACAUAAUGAUUGACGUUGCAUCAGCUUUAGAAUAUCUCCACUUCGAUCAUUCAACUGCUAUUAUUCAUUGUGACUUAAAGCCUAGUAAUGUAUUGUUGGACGAAAAUAUGGUUGCUCAUUUGAGUGAUUUUGGCAUAGCAAAGCUUUUAAGUGGAGAGGAUGAGUCUACGAUGCGAACAAAAACCCUUGCCACUAUAGGUUAUAUGGCACCAGGUUUGCUUCAAACAACUUUUUUUUUAGUUCAUUUUAAAUUUUCUAAAUCAUUGAUUUUUACGAUCCUCAUAUCAAAUUGUUACUGAUUAUUUAUCUAAUUGUGAAAUUAAUUUGAUUCAUAGAGUACGGCAUAGAAGGAGAAGUAUCUACAAAAAGUGAUGUUUACAGCUAUGGGAUUAUGUUGAUGGAAACUUUUACCAAGAAAAAACCCACAGAUGAAAUUUUUGUUGGAGAAUUGAGCUUAAAGCGUUGGGUUAAUGACUUGCUUCCUACUUCAUUAGAGGAAGUUGUGGACAAAACUCUGCUAAGUGGAGAGGAAAAACAUUCUUUAGGAAAGGAGCAAUGUCUGUUGUCUAUCUUUAGUUUGGCUCUGGAGUGUACAAUGGAAUCACCGGAAAAGAGGAUUAAUGCAAAAGAUAUUGUUACCGGAUUACUCAAGAUAAAAGCCGCAUUGAGUAAAAGGAUAGGAAAUUUAAGUUAAUUUCGUUUGCUUUCAUUGAUAGUUAAUCUGAAUUCAUGUAAUAAGUGUAGGAAUCUUAUAUCUUUUCCUUUCAUAUAUUUUUUUUCCUUGAGAAAACUGUUGUAGUCAUCUUGUUUCCGUGGACAGAGUUGAUUUAGUUUUUCCAUGAAAUGCUACUGAUGACAUUUGUUUUAUACUUUCUCUUUUUUUGCAUGUGUUUUGGCUGCAGGCUAAGAAGUCUAACUACACUAAAAGAAUAUGAUUUAAUUUAUUAAACAAAACUUCAAGUUCAAGAAAAGUAUUUCACUGCCCCUAAUGCUUUGGACACCUACUGGUAGGUUUGUACGUGUCCUCAACUUUUUUUUGGAGCACAAAAUUCGAGUCCCAUGGAGUCUCAAACAUUCCUUUCCCACAUCCCGAGCACGCUGAAUUUAUCAGACUGACUGUUGUGCGCGGAAUGCGGAAUCAAGCACGCCAAAUAAUUACAGAAAAAUAAAUGACACAAGAAUUUACGUGGUUCGGUAAUUAAACCUACAUCCACGGAGGUAAAAAAAAAAAUUGUUUAUUUAACAAUUAAUAGAGUACAAAUAUUUGAGUAACGAAUCUCACUUCCCAAAAACCCAAAUAUACCCAGUACUCUCACACUCUGCAGGAAAGAUAAAUUCCCCAGACAAACUUCUCUCACUUCUCUCAAAAGCUUAGAAACUUAUAAGCUUAACAAUUUUAGGAUACCAAAGAAUGGAAGAAGUGCCAUCUAUUUAUAGGGAAAAUAAUGGCACUAUUGAACCAACCCUUUUACUAUUCCACCUAACCUAAGCAAAUAGUCAAUGGUGUCCAUUUGGCAAAUUUGACAAAUUUGCCAACUUUCCAUUUUUUCUUCAAAUGUUUGGUAGCUCUUUGAAAAAUUGCCACAUACAUGACUUUUCAACACUGACAACCGGGACAUAUACAAGAGUGAAAUGUUCAGAGCACGCUAAGUUCCAGUGAAAGAGAUUAAUUUACGGAAACUAAAGCCAAGAGAAUAAAGGACAACACUUAUGUGAAGCGACAUAAUUGUAUUGAUAGCACAAUGUCAAAUUCAUACAGAGAUCUAGUAUACUAUUUACAGCCGGUAAGGGCUAAGAAUUGAUGUAGCUAUAAUACAAAUACGAUAAGGUAUGUUGUGCGCUAUUGUUUUUAUUCUCCAAUCAAUCUUGACCCUUGAUGCUUGGUUCUCAAUCUUGUCCAUUGAUCUUCUCUGAUUUUGGAGACUUCAAGACCUUUCAGUAUCAUUCCUUGUUAUUGGUGUCUUCCGUGCUGUAGAAUUCAUAUACAAGUUUUCCCGCCGACUUGCCAAGUAUUCGUUCAUUGGUGCAUUUUUAUCAAACAGCUGGGCUACUUAUGCCAGACACCGCCUGGUUUAACUCCCCCUCUCUAGCUCAACUAUCUGGGAAGACAAUUAAUUGAGCUUGUUUCACAAGUAUAUGAAUCUGAAAGUUAAAUUUUAAAAAUUAUAUUCGGACUCUACAUUUUGUAAUGAACAUUGGUUUGACUUGUUAUACAUUUAUGCGUACAUAAUUAAUAACCGAUUCUCAAGUGCGGACAUUCAAGAGCACUGCUUAAAGACCAAAUAUUUUGAUUUACUACUUUUUGUCUUUCAAUUUUCUUUUAAGUUCUGAUGACGUCCGCAUUUUAAAAUCCUGUGGAACAAAGGCCUGAGGUGCAUAUAAAAUUCUUUUAUUUUUCAGAGGAAAAUGGGUGAGAGAAGAAGAUUUGGCAAAAGAAUUGCAACGGCAUUUGAAACUAGUCUUCGUCUUUUAAUUCUUUUAUAUUUGUUUUUGUUAUUGAUGUUAGCUUGGAUGUGUGCGCGUGUGACUGAAUUCAACUUAUAUUUGUUUUUGUUAUUAUUAUUAAUUUUAUUUGUUUUUGUUAAAUUGGACCACCCCAUUAUCAAAUCAACACGGUUUAAUUAUUAUUAAUUCUACACUUUUUUUACGAACAAAUAUAAAAUAAAAGGACAUUUACAUCCCAAAUUUUAGUGCAAUAGUCAUCAACAUCCCUAAAUUUUUAAAAAGAGACAUCAAAAUCAUUUUUUGAUCUUAAUACUCUUAUACGGUACCUCUAUUAUUCCCAAAAAUUGACUCUAAUGUUUUAUAAUAAAUAAAAAUAAAACUUUAAAAUAAAUGUAAUUACAUAUACAUUUUAAAAUAAUUUCAAUAUUUAAAAAAUAUUUUUAACAUUUUACAAUCUAUUAUAUUUUAUUAUAUUAAAGUAAAUUUUAUUAUAAAUAGAAUCAUAUUAUUAAAAUAAAUGCAUUAAAAUUUAAAUUAUUUUGAAUAUCAUGUAAGAUAAUAAUUUUAACAUUACUAGUGUGUCAGAUUUUUUUUUUUAAUUGUAGAAUGUAUUUAGCGCAAAUAUUUAUUUAAAAUCUCUACAAUAAAUAAAAGAUUUAAAUAAAUAUAAUAAUUUACAUAUCUAAAUUUAUUAAAAUAUUUUAAUAUUGUUAGUCUACUGCAUAGAUCACAAUAUUUAUAUAACAUUUGUAUUUAUUAAAAACUUUAAAAUCAAUUCUUUUGAGAAUAAUAGAGGUAAAGAGUAUAAUGGUAAUAAAGGGGACUUUGUACCCCUUUCUAAAAACUUGAGGAUGUUAGUGACCAUUUCUCCAAACCUUCAGUGUGUUGAUGUAAUUGUCAAGAAAUACAGUAUCUAAACUUUGAAGUAACAAGGAUCACCUUUUAUGAAAUCAUAUUGCUUUUCAUGAUAGACUGUUACCAUUUUUCUACGAUAGAUUCAGUAAAAAAUUGAUUAAGAUGUCUACUCAUGGAGAGUGAAAUUUAUGUUCAAAACUAAUUUCAACAGGCAUGCACCAUCGAACGUGUUUCUCAUGGAAAAGUUGCUUGGAUUUUAGGGACUUUAUGUUCAAAUAUUCAACACGGCAUGCACCACGCGAUUGAACAUGCAAAAGUAGGGGUCUAUUUUCAUUUUCAGCAUUAUAGAAAUCUUAAUUUUGUUCAUUAUUUAUUUUGAUCAGCACUCUUGAAUCUCCAUGUAUUGCCAAUCACUAAGAAACAACAUAUUCUUAUUAAUUAUAUCCUCUAAUGGAGAGAACUCAUUGUCUCAGUAAGAUCACUGUGUCAUUAACCCACAGCAUGCUGAUUUGCUUGGUUGCUGCAGCAAGCAAAAAUAUUACCACAGAUCAAAAAGCUCUUCUUGCCCCAAAAGAUCACAUAACUUAUGCUCCAACUAAUCUUUUGACCCAAAAUUGGACCUCAAAUACCUCUGUUUGUACGGGGAUUAGCAUCACUUGCGAUGUCAAUAGCCAUGAAGUUGCAGCCUUGGAUAUUUCUCAAUUCAAUCUACAAGGCACCAUUAUUCCAAACACAACUGGUAAUUUAAGAAACCUUAAGUGGCUCGGCUUGGCUUAUAAACUACUUGACAUCUUCAACUUCAAAAUUGAGCUUUCUUUCCUCUUUGGCAAGUUGCAAAAAAUUAAGAAUCUUAGGCUUACUGGAAAUCCACUUGACCGUAUCCUUUCAGGUUCAAUAGGUAAUCUUUCUAUGUCUUAGGAAAGGUUUCACAUCGCCAAUUGCAGCAUUAGUGGCAGAAUUCCUCAAGUAAUCAGCAAUUUAAGCAACUUGUUGGCUGGUGUGCAAAAUUUUAAUAUACUUGCAAGCGCAUGAAUCUAGAAAUAGAAUAAUAGUAACGAGGUCAAACCCACAUGGAUCGUUAUAAACUGACAAAAGAAUAGCUGCUGGUCUAGAGGUGGCUUACUACAUUCAUACAAGAUCGUUUCUUGUUCUCUAAGAUAUGCAUUAUACUAAUAAUGCUAUACAAACUUAUCCAAAGGUCUAUUAAUUAAUUCAUUAAUCCAACGGCUUGUUAGGUUGUCCUUUCAUCCAUACAGCUGCAUGCUUGUCUUCUUAUAUACUGAUCUUAUCCUCUAGAUCUGUUCAGGCUGAGUGAUCUCUCACAUUUGCCAUAUCAGAAGAUUACAUGCCAGUAAUGUCAUGUGAUGACCUGUUGCUUGGUGAUGUCGAAUGCCUGGCCUUUACUUCUCUGAGCAAAUUGAUCAAACAAUUUGUUCAUUUUAUCGAACACCUUCACCAACCAACAUUUUAUUUACUUUUGAUGGUUUUUAAGUGCAUUUAAUGAUUAUUUUUGCUCCAACUUCAGAUAAACCAAACGCUAGUAUAUUAGAAGAAGAAGUUCACUGGCAGCUAACCAGGUCAAAAUAGCGACUCUAUAUAAAAAAUAUAUAUAAAAAAUAAAUAAAUAAAAUGGGACUUUAUUUAAUUAAUUGUUGGUCUAAAGCUGUUGGUAUCCGUUGGCCACGUUUCUGAAGAGUCAUCUCAAAUCGAAAUUUUUAACGAACAAAGAACUUUGCUUUUUUCCAUUGUUCACAUUGCUGCUGGCUGCCACCCGUGAGAUAAAAGUGCUACAAGCUUUCCGUCGACAUUCCCCCCUCCAUUUUCACCAUGCAUAAGCUGAAAUUUCUUGAUUUCAGUGAUAAUCAGCUCUCUGGUUCUUUGUCCUCCGUCACCUUCAACUUGUCUUCAGUAUUAGAUAUUCGUUUGGAUAGUGACAAACUCUCUGGUGAACUCCCAGUAAAUAUUUGCAAUUAUCUUCACUAUUUAAAAGUCCUUUUUUUGGCCAAAAACAUGUUUCACGGUCAAAUACCACUGGCUUUAUCCAAGUGCAAACGGCUACAACUGUUAAAUUUGGGGUUCAAAAAAUUAUCAGGAGCCAUACCGAAAGAAAUCAGCAACUUGACUAUACUUCGAAAGAUAUCUCUCAGAAAUAAUAAACUUCGCGGUAUAAAUGUUUAUAAUAUAUACUUUGUAAAUGCUCUUAUUAAUCAUUCUUGAACUUUCUUAGAUACUUUUGUCUAAAUAAGAUUUUGCAAAAGAGUUUUUUGCAUCUCUGUUAAUUUUGCAGGCGAGAUACCUCACGAAAUUGGGUAUCUUCCAAAUCUAGAGAAUUUGGUGCUUGGAUUCAACAACCUAGUAGGUGUUGUACCUGCUGCAAUCUUCAACAUGUCAACAGUGAAAAAAAUUUACCUAUUAGAUAACUCUCUCUUGGGAAGUUUUUCAUUAGGAAUAGACCUUUCACUUCCUAACGUUGAGAGACUGAACCCGGGGCUGAACAGAUUUUCUGGAACCAUUCCUAGUUUCAUCACCAACGCAUCUAAACUUGUAUAUCUAGAUAUGGGAACAAACUCUUUUUCGGGCAUUAUUCCGAACACAAUUGGUAAUAAUCUAAGAAACGUUGACUGGCUCGACUUAACAUACAAUCGCUUGACAUCAUUAACUCUAGAAUUGAGCUUUCUUUCCUCUUUGACAAUUGCAAGAAAUUAAGAUUCUUAGGCUUAACAGGCAAUCCGCUUGACGGUGUCCUUCCAACUUCAAUAGGUAAUCUUUCUAUGUCUUUGGAAAACAUUUACAUCUCAAAUUGUAAUAUUGGUGGCAGCAUUCCUCAACUAAUCAGCAAUUUAAGCAAUUUGUUGCUCUUAGAUUUAGAAGGCAAUAAGUUGACUGGAUCAAUUCCAGUCACAUUCAGCCGGUUGCAGAAACUCCAGGGUUUAUAUCUUCCAUUUAACAAGUUAGCAGGAUCAAUCCCAGACCAGCUUUGCCAUUUAGCUAGACUGAAUACAUUAGGUUUGGCUGGUAAUAAGUUUUCUGGAUCAAUCCCUUCAUGUUUAGGUAAUCUCACUUCUCUAAGGUCUCCCGACUUAGGGUCCAAUAGGCUUACAUCAGUCUUGCCCUCAACUUUUUGGAAUCUAAAAGACAUCUUGUUCUUUGACCUUUCAUCAAAUUCUUUGGAUGGUCCUCUUUCUUUAGACAUAGGAAAUUUAAGGGUUGUGAUAGGAAUAAAUUUAUCACGAAAUAACUUUUCAGGUGAUAUCCCAAGUACAAUUGGAGAUCUAAAAGACUUACAGAAUAUCUCCUUAGCAUGUAAUGGAUUGGAAGGUCUAAUUCCUGAAUCAUUUGGUUACUUGACAGGUUUGGAAAUUUUAGAUUUGUCAAAUAACAAAAUCUUUGAGUUUAUUCCGAUAUCUUUUUAAAAACUCUUGUACCUCAAAGAGCUAAAUUUGUCUUUUAACAAACUAGAAGGAGAGAUUCCUAGGGGAGGACCUUUUGCAAAUUUCACAGCUAAGUCAUUCAUGGGAAAUGAGAAAUUGUGUGGUUUACCAAAUCUCCAAUUCCCAAAAUGCAAGCGUCGGACGCGUCGAAAAUCAAAGAAAAAGAUGCUUCUACUUGUGAUUGUCUUGCCAUUGAGUACUGCUCUAAUAAUCGCAGUCCCUCUAGCUCUAAAAUAUAAAUCGAUAAGAGGUGGAAAGAGUAGUACUAGGUUGUUAAAUGAUGGUAUCUUGCAUCACAAGAAACACUAAGAAGAUUUUCAUACCAAGAUCUUUUUCGUGCAACAGAAAAAUUUAGUAAAGAAAAUCUAAUUGGCGUAGGAAGUUUUGGUUCUGUUUAUCGAGGAAGAAUUCAUGAUGGAAUUGAGGUUGCAAUAAAAGUGUUUCACCAGAAUUGUGCAAUGGCAUUGAAGAGUUUUGAGGCUGAAUGUGAAGUGAUGAAAAAUAUUCGUCAUCGAAAUCAUGUCAAAAGAAUCAGUAGUUGUUCGAACGAAGAUUUCAAAGCAUUAGUUCUAUAAUAUAUGCCCAAUAGGAGCUUGGAGGAUUGCCUGCAUUCUACCAAUUGUUCGUUAAAUAUUUUUGACAAGUUGAACAUAAUGAUAGAUGUUGCAUCGGCUUUGGAAUAUCUCCACUUCAGUCAUUCAACUCCUGUCAUUCAUUGCGACUUAAAGCCCAAAAAUGUAUUGUUAGAUAAAAAUAUGGUUGCUCAUUUCAGUGAUUUUGGAAUUGGAAGGCUCUUAACUGGAGAUCGAUCAAUGAUACAAACAGAAACACUUGUCACAAUUGGUUAUAUGGCACCAGGUUUGCUCUGAAACAAUUUUUGUUUUUUUUUUUUGGGUUUUCAUUCAGACUUUCCAAAUUAUUAUUUUUCCAUGAUCCUUCUAUCCUAAUGUUAUUGAUUAUUUAUCUAAUGAUAAAAUCAAUUUGGUUGAUAUAAUAUGGCAUAGAAGGACGAGUAUCUACAAGAAGUGAUGUUUAUAGUUAUGGAAUUAUGUUAAUAGAAACAUUUACUAGGAAGAAACCCACAGAUGAAAUGUUUACUACAGAAUUGAGCUUAAAACUUUGGGUUAACAACUUGCUACCUGCUUCAUUGAUGGAAGUUGUGGACAAAACUCUUUAAGUAGGGAAGAAGAAGAUUUUGCUGCGAUGGAGCAAUGUGUGUUAUCAAUCUGAGUUUAGCCAUGGAGUACGUGAUGGAAAUGCCAGAAAAAAGGAUCGAUCCAAUAGAUAUUGUAACUAAACUAUUGAAAAUAAGAGACAUAUUGAGUAAAAGGUUAGCAAAUUUAGGUUAAUCUCAUUUCUUGGCAUUGAUACUUGAAUCAAUAUACACUUAAUUUGAAUCAAUGUAUGAGUGUAAGAAUAUGAUAUAUUUUCCUUUAAUUUUUUUUCCUGAGAGAAAUAUCAUAGCUGUCUUGUUUCAAAUUAAUUUUAUACUUUUUUUUCUUUUUCUAAGAUCAUGCCAAAGAGUUGUAGGAAGAUCAGCCACAAAUUCAAAGCCGGCUAAGGCAUUUGAAGAUGGAGAGAUUGGUAGUUUUUUUCCCAUUAAAAUUAAUAUAUAUCACUUAUCCCAACUAUUUUCAUAAUGCCUAAUAAGCUCUUGGCACCAUAACUUUACCAUAUAACCCUUAUUUUGAAAUACACUUUUAUUCAUAUUAAUAUUAAUUAAAUAAAUCAUAUGAGUUGAAAUUAAAAAUUAAAAAAUUAAAUACCAAAAAAAAGAAAUAUACGUUUUAGUGUGCUAAAAAAUUAAUAUUAAAAUAUUUUUCUUAUAUAUAUAUAUAUAUUAUUCUCAAAAUAAUGUAUCAAGCAAAUGACUUUUUUCUCUUCUUUUUCUUUAACUUUUUUUGUGCUAGUAGAGUUUUUAGAUAUUAUAAAAACAAUAAAAGAAUAAGUGAUAUAUAUUAAUUUCAGUUGAAAAUAACCAACAAUCCCCCUUUAAUUACGUGUCACACCCAACUUAUAAAUUCUAUCAAUCAUGUAAUUAUGGUUGGUUUCUCUUUUUCUUUUUUUUGCAUGUGUUUAGGUAGAAUAGUGGUUUGGUUGCACUCUAAGAAGUCAAACUACACUAAAAGAAUAUGAUUUAAUUUAUUAAACAUAACUUCAAGUUCAAGAAAAGUAUCUUAUUGCCCCCAAUGCUUUGGACACCUAUUGGUAGGUCUGUACGUGUCCUCAACUUUUUUUUGGAGCACAAAAUUCGAGUCCCAUGGAGACUCAAACAUUCCUUUCCUUCAUCCCGAGGGCGCCUUCUGUCCUCUGUUUCUGUUUCCACACACAAAUAGCAAAAAGAAAUUAGAAUGACAACUGGGACAUAUAUAAGAGUGAAAUAAUUAAAAAAUUAUGCUUUUUUGUUUGUCGUGUUAAAAUCGUAAGUACCGAUGUACUGUGAAAGAGAUUAAUUUACAGAAACUGAAGCCAAGGGUUCAAAAAAAAAGUGCAAAGAGAAUAAUUGUAUUGGUAGCACAAUGUCAUAUUCAUACAGAGAUCAAGUAUAUUAUUUACGGCUGGUAAGGACUAAGAAUUGAUGUAGCUAGAAUGCAAAGAUGAUAAGGUAUGUUGUGCACUAUUGUUUUAUUCUACAAUCAAUCUUGACCCUUGAUGCUUGGCUCUUAAUCUUGUCCAUUGAUCUGGUCAACUAUCUGGGAAGACAAUUAAUUGAGCUUGUUUCACAAUUAUAUGAAUCUGAAAGUUAAAUUUUAAAAAUUACAUUCGGACUCUACGUUUUCUAAUGAACAUUGGUUUGGCUUAUAAGCUUAUUAUGCUUAGGCUUAGGCUUGGUAAGAUUAUCGGUCGGUAGAUGAACAAGUUUUAGAGCUUUCGAAUUCAUGCCAAUUAAUUUUCAACUAGGCUAUUACCACAAUAAACAUUUAGAUGAACUAUUAUUGAAAUUUUAUUGAGAAGUGGAACAUGUCGCAUACCAAUGCACGGACAUAUCUUCAAAUAGUGGUAACUCCACACAACAUGGCACAACAAAUUAAGAGUUAUAUAGAUAAAAUCUUUCUACAAUUACAAUAGAUUGAAUUUAGUAAGAAAUUGAUUGUUAUCAUUUUUCUCAUGGAAAAGUUGUUUGGAUUACAAUAGAUUGAAUUUAUGUUCAAAUAUUCAACACGGCAUGCACCACGCGACUGAACUUGCAGAAGGAGAGGUCCAUUUUCAUUUUCAGCAUCACAGAAAUCUAAAUUUGUUCAUUAUAUAUUCUGAUCAGCACUUGAACAUCCAUGCAUACUCCUAUUAAUUAUAUCCUCUAAUGGAGAGAACUCAUUGCCUCAGUAUGAUCACUGUGUCAUCAACCCACUGCCCGCUUCUUUGCUUGGUUGUUGCAGCAAGCAACAAUAUUACCACAGAUCAACAAUAGUUUGUCCAUUUGUUUCAGUGAGGUCGUCAUUAAAAAUUAAUUUUCAUAUUGAUUUUCUUAAUUAUAAAUAAUACUAAUGAUAUUUCAUAGUUAUAAAUAUAUUAGAAUUAAUCAAAAUCAUUUUUUAGUGCGGCAUGGCUAAAACUACCUUCUUCUUUUUUUUUUAUAAGUAAUUACUACUUUAAGGAAAAUACUCCUAUUUUCAGGGAAAAGUCAAGUACCUGUAGUUGUGAAGACUCGAGCUCACCCUCUUAUGAUAAAUCUUCAUAUCAAUUACAUAAAUAUCCUCUAAGUUUUUAGUUAACUAUUCAAAAUUCGAUGUUAUACGGGUAUUUCAUUUAUUUGAGUAGGGGUUAGGGGUCAAUUGGAUACAAAUUCAAAAUUAUCCUUACUUGAGAAGGUGAUAAAAAUUGGGGAUUUAGUUUGGGUGUCAUUAGCUACAAAUAUUAAACUCAUACAUCUAAUUCAAAAUUGCAUCCAGGUUCAUUGCAGCUAAGGCUUGUGGAAUUUCCUCAGUAAGAUGUGAGUAGUCAUACCUACGUCGACAUUCAAUGGCUGUAUGUUUCGGUAAAUGACAAAUUUGGCAUAUGACAGUUUCUUCAUUGACUUCCUCAGCUUGUUGUUUGGAUUGAUUCUGAAUUUUGUGCCAAGGCUGUCCAGAAUUAUUUUGUCGAGGUUGCUGCCACUGUUGUCCCGAAUUUCCUUGCCAUGAUUGUUGCCCUUGUUGACUUGGAUUAUUGUUUGAUUUUUGCCAUGGCUGACUUGCAUUAUUAUUCCAACUUUUUCCACCAUUGUAGUUGAUUUUUUGACCACUUGAAUCAGCCAAAUUUUGUCCUCCUGCUGCUGUAAAACCACGACCUUUUGAGUUAAAGAAACCUCCAUUUCCACGACCUUUUCCCUUGCCUCGUUGGCUAAAAAAGGCUUGAGCCAGAUUGAUUGUAUUCUUCUUUUCUUCUUCAAAAUUAAUAAGAGUUUGUUCAUGAUUUUCGAGGGCCAUGACAAACUGCUUAAAUGAGGGAUAAGGUGGUUUUGAAAGUUGAGCAAGUUUGAAGUCUUGACUUUAUCGAAGUCAUUCACUGGUUUAUUUAUUGCAGCCAAACAAUCACAGAUAUGCUUGUAUUUGCGCACAUACUCUUCAACUGAUAGAGAUCCCUUUUUAAACCGAGAGAAUUACUAUAUUUACACAAUUAACCUUGGCUAGAAUUAAUUGUCCAGAUUGGAUGAUAACUAGAGAAUAGAAAUGAAGAAAAGGAAGCACACAACACCGAGAAGAGUAAUAAUUAAUGCUGCCAUUGACGAAAUGUUUUAUAUUACUCUUCUUUCUUGGUAUUUAUUUAUUUACAAUUUUUAAUGUAAAUAUACAGUUGUUGGGCUAAUAUCUUAUUUACUUUUGAAUGUAUUAGAUGCCUUUUCUUUUUUCUUGGUUCAUAAUAAUUUUGUAGAAAUUCCUCAAGUUUCCCUAAAUGAUAGCACAUAUUCAUAAUUGGAUUGAUUGAGUAAUAAUAAAAUAUAUUUAUUUGGCAAACGGCAGUUAGGCUUUCUUCUGAUGCAGAUUAAUUAGAGAGAAUAUAUAACAAUUUUAAGCUCGUCAGAUUCGGAACCUGCUUAUCUGUCGUGUGGGGAUCACUUCUGUGUCUUAUUUUUCUAGAAAAAUCUGGACCAUUGGAUUUCCCAUUAUUCAAUAGAUAAAUGUUUGAUCUUGAUUCUUGAUUAAGAUCGAAGUUUGAUUCUAACCAAAAUGAUGUCAGAUUCAGAUUGCGAAGCAAGCAAAUUGAAAGUAACUUGUUCUAUUUUGAUAAACACUAGUUCUAAUAAAAAAUUUCUAAGUGUAUAUAUUUUUUUUAUUGUGUUCAAUUUAACUAGUCAAAUCUAUUUUUAAAUAUUUUAUUAACAAUGAUAUGAAAAUAUUCGAACCCCUUGUCAUUGUAAAGUGAAUUACUAUCCAACUACACCAAAUAAUGUUUUCAAAUUGUAAACUGCAAAUCGUGUGUUUGCUCCAUUACAGCGUUUCUUCAAUUUAAAAAAGAGAAUCAUUUGCAUUCUAGAUUAAUCGUGGGUCUAUAUCCAAAUCUAAAAAUUGACUAAAUUCUUAAUCCUAACAAGAAAAAUUGAAGAUUAAAAACGACUAAUUUGGUACCAUACCACUAUUGUAACAUAGGUGGAUCCUCUAUUAAUUGGAGUAAAGAUUGAAUUAUCUCAUUUAUUAAGAUUUAUCAAAAUCUUGUAUCAAAAUCUAUUAAUGAUAUAGGUUCAAGGAUGAAAGAGUCACUUCAUUACUUUUGAGUUCCCAAAUAGAUGAAUGGAUGUUAUUUUUGGAUAGGUGCUAAAUCGAAUUAAGUUGUAGAUAAGAUAGAAAUGGAUUUGGAGAGAUUGGAAUCCUAGGUAAUCCGGUGCACGUUGUCGUGUUAAAUUCUCGUUGACUUCACGUUGACUGAAGCAUUAUUGGAAGAAACAAGUUUAUUGAGGUGAGGCCUUUGAGAUUGUAAGUGUUAAAUCUGAGAAGAAUACCCACACACCCAUUAUCCUAUUACUCUUAUAUCACAUGAAGAGAAUUCAACAUUUGAUUCACAUGGAACAAAAUUGUGAGGAUUGCGAGGGUUGAUGGAAUAUAAUUUAGAUACAAAGUGUUUACCAGUGCGAUGCUUCACAAGUGUUUUCAAUCAUAGUGAUUGUUUUAUCUGCACGUGGAUAUAAUCACAUGUCAGAAUUUUUUUCCUUAAAUUAUGAUCUUAUUUAGUACUGAGGUGUUAUAUCUUUUAAUGUACAAUUAUUGUUGGAAAAAAGUUGCAACUAUCAAAUAAAAUUAAUACUAUGUGCUAAAUAUAAUUGUUAAAUAAUAAUUUUGACAAAAUUAGUGAAGUUAAAUAGAUUUUUUUUUUAUCAUCCAAGUAUAAAAUCAAAUCAACUUAACUUCUAAGUUCUAUAUCGGCUACUGUUUAUCAUAUCUUUUAGUUUUGUAACUUUAAAGUUAUAGUUACCCAACCUCAAUUCUAAACAAGACCUAUAAAGAUCAAAGAUUUCCUCAUUAAAUUAUAUGUCUUGUGAUUGCUUAUUUAAUUUAUAUUUUUGUUAUUUAUCUUUAUUAAUUAUAAUCAUCUUUUUAUAAAUUAAAAUUGAAGGAAGUUGAUUGAUGUUGUUGACACACACACACACACACACGCACGCACACACUCGCAAAGAUAUAUUGGAAGUGCUUACGUCGACUCGAAGUUGUUGGGAAUUAAUGCAUGUAUUGAUUUAUUGGGAGUGUUUAAAUUGAUUUAUUAAUUGAAUAUUGUUUGAUUGCUUCAUAUCCAUUCUAGAAAGUUUAUUUCUUUGUGAAAUUUCAACGAAAUAUGUUUUUUUUUUUAAAUAAGGGUGUUCUAAAUCAUUUUAAAAAAUAUAUGGACUAAUUAGAAUUAAUUAUUAGGUAAUUAACUCAAUUUGUACAGGGUGAAACAACAUUUAUCCUAAUUAUAUCAUGAUAAAUACUUUUCUGAUUAGAAUUAGGAAAUCAUAGGUUAUUGAAUUGUUUUUUUUUUCCUUUGCGAAUGGAUUAGAGAAUUAGAAAACAUCAUGUUGAUGUCAAAAUCUGAUCUAGUCNNNNNNNNNNNNNNNNNNNNNNNNNNNNNNNNNNNNNNNNNNNNNNNNNNNNNNNNNNNNNNNNNNNNNNNNNNNNNNNNNNNNNNNNNNNNNNNNNNNNAGCAUUAAAUUUAUUUGGUAGAGAAUUGGCUGGUCAAUUGUCAAGAUGUCCUGCAAUCACUAGCGAUUAACCUACGAAUACCUGAAAUCACAAAAGACGGUAAGAGGCACUAGAAAUUUUUUCGGCGUGAACCUUCUGACGCUCAAGUCAGUUUAUAGGUUUACCAUAAUAAAAAUAAAUAAUUUCUAUUUAAAACAAAAAAUAAAGUUCAAAAGCUCAAAAAUAAAACCCAAUCCCAAUAUGAAAAUGAAUUUCUUUUUUUUUUUUAGCUUGGCCGAAUCCUUCUGCCUCCUAAAGAAACAUAAUAGAGAAGCAGGUAGCCAUGUUCCCUAGGUAACGCCCCACUCCCCUCUUUUAUUCCUCCCCCUCUCUUCCGUUUCCUUCUUUUGCUCACUAUCCUUUAUAAUUUUUUAUGCUUGUCUUCCCAAAAUAGCCUUUGAAUACACAAGUACAUGUCUAGCCUUUGGUGAGGAUAGUUUGGUCAUUGCAUUUUACAAGUAAGAUGAGUGGUGGAGAAAAAUGAGGAGUGCACAUAACUCUUCAGCAAAUCCCACCAACAAUUCCAUUUUCUUAAUUAAUUAAUCUCCUUUUUUAUCCCCAAACAAAUCCUAAUGAUACUCUUAUCAGGUUUAAAACAGUACACAAAUAGUGAAAAGCUAACUAGUCUGUAGAGUAAUUUGCUAAUUGCUAUCUCCUCUCUACGCGCGCUGAAUAAUUUGUUGCAUGCAAACUUUUUAUUUUAUGCAAAUCGUACGUACUGUAACAUUGGAAUUGAUGGAUAAGCAAAAAUACAAUAAUAUUUAUGCCAAUAAAAAUAGUUUUUUUUCCUUUUUAAAUAAACACAACGCGAUGUUGCUCUGCUCUACAUUUUUGCUAUCUCUUUAUUCUUUUUUUUUUUUUGGGCUUCUUAAAGCCUCAAACUUUGACAACCAAAACUUCAUCGACCUAUGAAAAAAUCUGCAGAUUAGUUUUUAUUAUCGGAAUAAUUGUUUGAGAAUACUAAAACAAAAUAUAAAAUAAGAAAAUACGGGGUUAAAUUUGGGGAAAACAAAAAGGCAUGUUCUAUCGAUUACUAUAGUUUAAGAAAACAAAAUCCAAUUGGGAAUUUUUUUCUUUAAUUUUUGUUUUACUUGAUUGAGAUUUCUCCUUAGUCCUUACAGUUUUAAGUUUGGAUGCCGUAGGGUUAGUAAUUUAGUACUUCCUUUGCAAGCUGAGGGCAAGAAUGAAAAUCUUUAAAGAAAUUAAAAAAGAUUAAAAAAAAGCAUACCAAUAGGUAAUUAUAAAUAACCAUAAAUAAACAUAAACAAAAUAUUUAUGAAGUAAAUUACACAUGCACAUAUUAUUUUUUUGUUUUAUUUCUUACUUGUCUAUUUUAUUUGUCUAUUUUAUUUGCUGCUUGAUAACCCGUAAAUACUAAUCUAGUACUGCUAAUUUCAGACACAAAAUUUUUAACUCUAGGCUGCAGUUUUGCUCAAAAUGAUGACCACUGGCUUCGCACCAUUUAACCGGCAUACAUUUCUACAAAUUGAACAAGGCUAUUGAUUUUCAUUAUUAUUUUUUAUUUAUUUAUAAAUUACUAUUUUAAUUUUCACUUUUUAUUGGGUUGUUUACAAUUUUAUUUUAUAAUUUCAAAUUUGUAUUUUAAAAUGCAGGUACAUUAUGUAUACAUAAUUAUUGAUUUUCAUAUGUGGGUGUUUUGAAAUAUUGCUAAAAGACCAAACUUAAUAAACUAUUUUUCAUCUUUUUUUCCCUUUUUUCCUAAAGGUUGAGUGAUAUCCGCAUUUUAAAUUCAUGUGGAACAAAAGCUAAUGAAUGCACAAAAUUCUUUUAUUUUUUCCGAGAAAAAUGGGUAAGAGAAGAAGAUUUUUCUCUUGAAAAAGAAAAACUAAUACGAUGCAAACAUAGGAAAGAGGUCAGUGUUUUGGAUUAGAAUUUAUUAUUGACCUGAAUUUUAUACUAAACUCUUUUAUAGUACUGCGAUUAAUGAACUCAUGAUUUGCUUUUGCUUUUACUUCAAGUGAAAGAAAGAGGAAACCUUUUGUUUUUUGUUUGAUUCUUGACUAUAGAUGUUACCUAUAUAGAGAGUUGAGGUAGCUGCCUUAAGUGAUGGUGAUAAAAAGAUUAAGCAGCGCACAAAAUCUGACUGUCGUCCAGACCAUCCAGCUGUGAUGGCUCUAGUUUUUUGGUUACAUUAGCUUUAGUGGAAAGGAGGGCCAAUUUAACAAAGACUAGAUUUGGUGGCUUACUAUAAUGCUUAUUCUCAAGGAAUCUAAUGUUAUAAGAUGAUUUAAUGAUCUUCUAUGAUUGUGAGUAGUAUAGUAUAAUUGAAAAGAGCCUGGGCUCCUAUGAUGAAUAUUUAAUAGUAACACAAUAUUGUGAUUGAAAAAAACACUGUUACAAUAAACUCUUCAUUUAUUCAUUGCGGAUAUUGAAUGGCAAACAGAGAAUAAAAUGAAGCAGAGGAAUCUCAUUGCUAGUAAAAUUGACCCUCUUUAAUGUUAUAUGGCACAGGUGUGUGUACAGCAAGAGCAAGUGACUUGCAGUUUUUUUUUGUAAAAUAUACAGGUUAUGACCAUGAUCAUUGUAGUUAGGUUUUGAUGAUUUUAGAUGCUUUUUUUAUUUUUUUUAAAUUGUGACACCUUUGAUUUAUGGUAGUUUUGCAGAAGAAAAAAAUAUAUAAAAAAAUUAGGAAGAAUGAGUUAACUAACAAUUGCAAUCAUUACAACAAUGUUGAUGAGUGAUACAUCAUUUGAAAUUUACUUGUCAGUUGCUAAAAUGAUGAAAAAAAACAAUAAACAAUAGCAGUAAUAUUUUUAUGGAAAUUCUUGGUUUUUAUGGAAAUACUCUUGCUGAAAUUCUAAUUUUGACUUUCAACUCUUGGUUUUUAUGGAAAGUAAAAUGACUUGUUUUUUAUAUUCAUACAAUCCACUCUACAUAAUGAUUUCAUUUUAAUAAAUGCUUGAUGAUCUCCACUGAAAAACUACUUCAAUUCUUUUGUUUUAUUUAACUUUUUGGUUGUUGAAAAUAGCCUUAAUUUUCAAAUAACUGGAGAAAGAGUAAAGAACAUUUAACAAAUUUAUGUGCCAAAAAUAAAGGAGAAAUUGAAGAGAAAGGGUGCUUGCAGAAGUGGGUGCAAAGAUAAAUCAGUCUAUAAGAAUUAUUGUGGUUAUUAAUUUUUUGGCAAUAUAAAAAAUUUUCAGCAAAUAAAAAUUGAUUUUUUCCAAUUUACUAAAAAAUUAAUUAAAAACUUUGGCGAUAGCAUUUUUUGUUGGUGCAUGUACCCUCCCUUUUAAAAAAAUAUAAUAAUUAAUACUUAAUAUAAUAUUAAAUACGAAAAUAUCAAUAUUUGACUACACAAAUUUAUAUCAUUAGGUCCUUAAAAUUUAAAAUUGAAGACAUAGAAUGAAAUAUAUAAAUAUAUAUAAAUUUUAUAAUCUUAAAAUAUUUGAAAGAUUUUUUAAAACAAAUGUAAUUUUAUUUGUGUACAAUCAAUAUUUACUUAUUUAUUAUAUUUUUAUUCAUUAACUAUCAAUCAUGUGAGUAUAUCUACUUAGAAAUAUCAUAUCAAGGGAGAAUCUUGAUCCCACGCACACGCAAAUAUGUUAAUUUCUAUACGCUUCACUUACCUGUAGAAUCAAUUAUCUAAAAUGCAAGUUUGUGGCCACAAAAAAGGCCAAAGAAAGAAGAUAAUAACAAUUGACUUGUAUAUUAUACUCAUACAAUCCACUCGACAUAAUGAUAUCAUUUUAACAAGGCAAUGGCUGAUGAUCUCCAUUGAAAAACUAAUUCAUUUCUUUUGCUUCAUUUAACUUUUUGGUUGUUGAAAAUAACCUUAAUGAUCAAAUUUAUGUGCAAAAAAAAAAGGAGAAGUUGAAGAGAAAGGGUGCUUGCAGAAGUGGAUGUCAAAGAAAAAUCGGUCCAUAAGAAUUAUUGCGGUUAUUUUUUGGCAAUAUAAAAUUUUUAUAGCAUGUAAAAAUUAAUUUUUUUUCCGAUUUACUAAAAAAUUAACUAAAAACUUCUGCGACAGCAUUUUUUAUGGGUGCAUAUACCCUCCCUUUAAAAAAAAUAUAAUAAUUAAUGCUUAAUAUAGUAUUAAAUACGAAAAUAUCAAUAUUUGACAACUCAAAUUUAUAUCAUUAGGUCCUUAAAAUUUAAAAUUGAAGACACGAAAAGAAAUAUAUAAAAAUUUCAUUCUCAUGGAAAGGAUUCUCUUAUAAUCUUAUAAUAUUUGAGUUCUGAAAUUUUUUUGAAACAAAUGUAAUUUUAUUUGUGUACAAUCAAUAUUUACUUAUUUAUUAUAUUUUAAUUUAUUAACUAUCAAUCAUGUAAGUAUAUUUAGUCAGAAAAAUUAUAUCAAGAGAGAAUUCUAAUUUCACACAAACACAAAUACAAGACAAAUAUGUCAAUUUCUAUACUAUUCACUUUCCUGUAGAAUCAAUUAUCUAAAAUGGAAGUUUGUGGCUACAGCAAACUCGCCAAAGAAAGAAGAUAAUAACAAUUGAGCAUUGAUAGCAAAACUAAUGCAUCAUUUUCUUCUUGACUUGAUGAGAUGGCGCCAUUACAAAAAAACAAGUACCUUAAUUGACGGGCACUGAGUGAUGUGAAUACUACCAGCCAGUUCAUCUCUUCCAGUCUUGCUUAAUCACAAUCACAAACACCACGAGAUUGACAUUUGCAUUAUAUAUAUGUUCAGCAAUCGAAACACCUUGCAUUACCAAAUUAACCGCUAACAAACAAAGCAAUCUUUCAGGGAGAGAAACUUUAGUCUCAGUAUGAUCACUGUGUCAUUAACCCACUUCCUGCUUCUUUGCUUGGUUGUUGUAGCAGCAGCAGCAGCAAGCAACAAUAUUACCACAGACCAACAAGCUCUUCUUGCCCUGAAAGAUCAUAUAAUUUAUGAUCCGACCAACCUUUUUGCCCAUAAUUGGACCUCGAAUACCUCUGUUUGUACCUGGAUUGGCAUCACUUGUGAUGUCAAUAGCCAUAGAGUCGCAGCCUUAGAUAUUUCUCAAUUCAAUCUACAAGGCACCAUCCCUCCUCAACUUGGAAACCUCUCUUCACUCACAACGCUUAAUCUUAGUCAUAACAAGCUUUCUGGAAACGUUCCCUCCUCCAUCUACACAAUGCAUACGCUAAAAUUUCUUGACUUCACUGAUAACCAGCUCUCUGGUUCGGUGUCUUCCUUCGUCUUCAACAUGUCUUCAAUAGUAGAAAUUCGUUUGACCAAUAACAGAUUUUCUGGUGAGCUUCCGAAAAAUAUUUGCAACUAUCUUCCUUAUUUGAAAGCCCUUUUCUUAAAAAAAAACAUGUUUCAUGGCAAAAUUCCUUCUGCUUUAUCAAAGUGCAAAACUCUGCAAAUAUUAUUGUUGCAGUUCAAUAAUUUAUCCGGUGCAAUACCAAAAGAAAUCGGCAACUUGACUAUGCUCAAAGGGAUAUCUCUAUUAUGCAACAAACUCCACGGUAUGUUCAUAAUACUAUGUAAAUAUUUUAAUUUCUCACUUGUUAUUUUUCUUGAAUACUUUAGAUAAGAUCUUGUAACAGAGAUUUUUUUGCAUCUAUGUUAAUUUGCCAGGUGAGAUACCCCACGAAAUCGCUAAUCUUCGAAAUCUAGAGGCUUUAGUGCUUGGAAUGAACAACCUAGUUGGUGUGUUACCAGCUCCAAUCUUCAACAUGUCAACACUGAAGGUACUUAUCCUCAUGGAUAACUCUCUCAGUGGAAGUCUACCAUCAAGAAUAGACCUUUCACUUCCAACUGUUGAGUUUCUUGAGUUGGCACAUAAUAGAUUUUCUGGAACCAUUCCUAGUUCCAUCACCAAUGCUUCUAAGCUCAC
Molecule: long non-coding RNA, 43651 nt
Filed under: Citrus x clementina
Lineage: Eukaryota; Viridiplantae; Streptophyta; Magnoliopsida; Sapindales; Rutaceae
Description: Citrus clementina (C. clementina) long non-coding RNA (CCLE_LNC000502)
Source: RNAcentral